RNAcentral lists this ribosomal RNA (468 nucleotides) under uncultured bacterium. RNAcentral's name for it is "partial 16S ribosomal RNA". It matches the Rfam family "Bacterial small subunit ribosomal RNA", at positions 28 to 507 of the family's 1533-position model. The record is from RNAcentral.
GACGAACGCUGGCGGCGUGCUUAACACAUGCAAGUCGAACGGAAAGUCCCUGCUUUUUUGGGGUGCUCUAGUUGCGAACUGGUGAGUAACACGUGGGUUACCUGCCCUUGACUUUGGGAUAACUUCAUGAAACUUGGUCUCAUAGCGGCUAAGAGCUCCUGCUUCAUGGUGGGGGUUGGAAGGUUUCGGCGGUUGGGGAGGGACUCGCGGCUUAUCAGCUUGUUGGUGGGGUAGUGGCUUAGCAAGGCUUUGACAGGUAGCCGGCCUGAAAGGGUGACCGGACACGUCAGGAUUGAACUAAGGCACAGCCCACACCGGGAGGCAGGGGUGGGGAAUGGUGCAUAAGGGGAUGAAGCAUGAUGUAGUAACGCAGCGCGGGGGAUGACGGGAUUCGCGUUGUAAUGCGAUUUCCCCUGUGACGAAGCGAGAGUGACGGUAAUGGGUAAAGAAGCACCGGCUAACUCCGUG